CCUACGGGAGGCAGCCGUGAGGAAUAUUGGUCAAUGGGCGCGAGCCUGAACCAGCCAAGUAGCGUGAAGGAUGACUGCCCUACGGGUUGUAAACUUCUUUUAUAAAGGCAUAAAGUGAGGCACGUGUGCCUUUUUGUAUGUACUUUAUGAUUCAGGCUCGGCUAACUCCGUUCCAGCAGCCGCGGUAAUACGGAGGAUCCGAGCGUUAUCCGGAUUUAGUGGGUUUCAAGGGAACGUAGAUGGGUUGUUAGGUCAGUUUUGAACGUUUGCGGCUAAACCGUAAAAUUGCAAUUGAUACUGGCAGCCUUGAGUACAGUUGAGGUAGUCGGAAUUCGUGGUGUAGCGGUGAAAUGCUUAGAUAUCACGAAGAACUCCGAUUGCGAAGGCAGCUUACUAAACGGCCACUGACAUUGAUGCUCGAAAGUGUGGGUAUCAAACAGGAUUGGAUACCCAGUAGUC
Molecule: ribosomal RNA, 459 nt
Filed under: uncultured bacterium
Lineage: Bacteria
Description: partial 16S ribosomal RNA
Rfam family: Bacterial small subunit ribosomal RNA
Source: RNAcentral